UUAGUUGAAGCUAAAAUAGAAGCGUUUUAUUGUUAAUAAAGAUAUUGAUUUAAAAUCCAACUAAA
This 65-nucleotide transfer RNA is filed under the name Orius strigicollis. RNAcentral describes it as "tRNA-Asn". Lineage: Eukaryota; Metazoa; Arthropoda; Insecta; Hemiptera; Anthocoridae. The record is from RNAcentral.